This 253-nucleotide ribosomal RNA is filed under the name uncultured bacterium. RNAcentral describes it as "partial 16S ribosomal RNA". It matches the Rfam family "Bacterial small subunit ribosomal RNA", at positions 524 to 776 of the family's 1533-position model. The record is from RNAcentral.
UACGUAGGGGGCAAGCGUUGUCCGGAAUCAUUGGGCGUAAAGCGCGUGUAGGCGGCUUCGUAAGUCCGUUGUGAAAGUCCAGGGCUCAACCCUGGAAUGCCGAUGGAUAUUGCGGAGCUAGAGUCCGGAAGAGGCGAGUGGAAUUCCUGGUGUAGCGGUGAAAUGCGCAGAUAUCAGGAGGAACACCAAUGGCGAAGGCAGCUCGCUGGGACGGUACUGACGCUGAGACGCGAAAGCGUGGGGAGCAAACAGG